UUUGGAAGAAGCGUAGUUGUUCUUAGGACUAUAAAUACUAACCCAGCUGGAGCCAACAUGGAUGUUGGCUCAGAAGCAAUGCAUACAGGGAUGUAUGCUUUGCUUCGGCAGCGAACACUGUUAAACAUAUUUAUAUAGUCCUUAGAACAACUUGCUUCGAACAAC
Regulatory RNA element from Firmicutes bacterium CAG:882, 165 nucleotides. The record is from Rfam. Lineage: Bacteria; Bacillati; Bacillota.